AUUGAACGCUGGCGGCAUGCCUUACACAUGCAAGUCGAACGGUAGCGCGGGGCAACCUGGCGACGAGUGGCGAACGGGUGAGUAAAGCAUCGGAACGUGCCCUGGAAUGGGGGAUAACGUAGCGAAAGUUACGCUAAUACCGCAUAUUCUGUGAGCAGGAAAGCAGGGGAUCGCAAGACCUUGCGUUCUGGGAGCGGCCGAUGUCGGAUUAGCUAGUUGGUGGGGUAAAGCCUACCAAGGCGACGAUCCGUAGCGGGUCUGAGAGGAUGAUCCGCCACACUGGGACUGAGACACGGCCCAGACUCCUACGGGAGGCAGCAGUGGGGAAUUUUGGACAAUGGGCGGAAGCCUGAUCCAGCCAUGCCGCGUGAGUGAAGAAGGCCU
RNAcentral lists this ribosomal RNA (384 nucleotides) under uncultured bacterium. RNAcentral describes it as "bacterial SSU rRNA". It matches the Rfam family "Bacterial small subunit ribosomal RNA", at positions 29 to 417 of the family's 1533-position model. The record is from RNAcentral.